AGUGAACGCUGGCGGCGUGCUUAACACAUGCAAGUCGAACGAGAACGGAUUAUAGCUUGCUAUAAUUGUCAGCUAAGUGACGCACGGGUGAGUAAUGUAUAGAUAACCUGCCCUUAAGAAAGGAAUAACAGUUGGAAACGACUGCUAAUGCCCUAUAUGCCUUUAAUACAUAAGUAUGCAAGGGAAACGCUUUAGUGCUUAAGGAUGGGUCUGUAUGGUAUCAGCUUGUUGGUGAGGUAAUGGCUCACCAGGGCUAUGACGCCUAACUGGUUUGAGAGGAUGAUCAGUCACACUGGAACUGAGACACGGUCCAGACUCCUACGGGAGGCAGCAGUGGGGAAUAUUGCACAAUGGACGAAAGUCUGAUGCAGCAACGCCGCGUGGAGGAUGACACAUUUCGGUGCGUAAACUCCUUUUAUAUAGGAAGAUAAUGACGGUACUAUAUGAAUAAGCACCGGCUAACUCCGUGCCAGCAGCCGCCGUAA
Molecule: ribosomal RNA, 485 nt
Filed under: uncultured bacterium
Lineage: Bacteria
Description: partial 16S ribosomal RNA
Rfam family: Bacterial small subunit ribosomal RNA
Source: RNAcentral